GAAUGUAUAACUCAGAAGUAGAGCGCGUGCUCAGCAUGCAUGAGGUCCUGGGUUCAAUCCCUGGUACCUCCA
Molecule: transfer RNA, 72 nt
Filed under: Camelus bactrianus (Bactrian camel)
Lineage: Eukaryota; Metazoa; Chordata; Mammalia; Artiodactyla; Camelidae
Also listed under: 2 other names
Rfam family: tRNA
About the family: Transfer RNA (tRNA) molecules are approximately 80 nucleotides in length. Their secondary structure includes four short double-helical elements and three loops (D, anti-codon, and T loops).
Source: Rfam by way of RNAcentral